This 492-nucleotide ribosomal RNA is filed under the name uncultured bacterium. RNAcentral describes it as "partial 16S ribosomal RNA". It matches the Rfam family "Bacterial small subunit ribosomal RNA", at positions 29 to 507 of the family's 1533-position model. The record is from RNAcentral.
AGUGAACGCUGGCGGUAGGCCUAACACAUGCAAGUCGAACGGCGGCACAGUAAGAGCUUGCUCUUACGGGUGGCGAGUGGCGGACGGGUGAGGAAUACAUCGGAAUCUACUUUUUCGUGGGGGAUAACGUAGGGAAACUUACGCUAAUACCGCAUACGACCUACGGGUGAAAGCAGGGGAUCUUCGGACCUUGCGCGAUUGAAUGAGCCAAUGUCGGAUUAGCUAGUUGGCGGGGUAAAGGCCCACCAAGGCGACGAUCCGUAGCUGGUCUGAGAGGAUGAUCAGCCACACUGGAACUGAGACACGGUCCAGACUCCUACGGGAGGCAGCAGUGGGGAAUAUUGGACAAUGGGCGCAAGCCUGAUCCAGCCAUACCGCGUGGGUGAAGAAGGCCUUCGGGUUGUAAAGCCCUUUUGUUGGGAAAGAAAAGCAGCAGGUUAAUACCCCGCUGUUCUGACGGUACCCAAAGAAUAAGCACCGGCUAACUUCGUG